AGUACCAUGGCUUAGCUGGUCAAAGCACCUGUCUAUUGAACAGAAGAUCCUGGGUUCAAAUCCCAGCAGUGCCU
Molecule: transfer RNA, 74 nt
Filed under: Bos taurus (domestic cattle)
Lineage: Eukaryota; Metazoa; Chordata; Mammalia; Artiodactyla; Bovidae
Also listed under: 5 other names
Rfam family: tRNA
About the family: Transfer RNA (tRNA) molecules are approximately 80 nucleotides in length. Their secondary structure includes four short double-helical elements and three loops (D, anti-codon, and T loops).
Source: Rfam by way of RNAcentral